Molecule: ribosomal RNA, 254 nt
Filed under: uncultured bacterium
Lineage: Bacteria
Description: partial small subunit ribosomal RNA
Rfam family: Bacterial small subunit ribosomal RNA
Source: RNAcentral
AGGACGAACGCUGGCGGCGUGCUUAACACAUGCAAGUCGAGCGGAAAGGCCCUUCGGGGUACUCGAGCGGCGAACGGGUGAGUAACACGUGAGUAAUCUGCCCCUAGCUCUGGGAUAGCUCCGGGAAACCGGGAUUAAUACUGGAUACGACCACCUUAGACAUCUUUUGUGGUGGAAAGAAUUUCGGCUAGGGAUGAGCUCGCGGCCUAUCAGCUUGUUGGUGGGUAACGGCCUACCGAAGGCGACGACGGGUA